CUGUAACGUAACAAAAUGUGGAAAAAGUCAAGGGGUCUGAAUACUUUCCGAAGGCACUGUAUAUCAGUAUAUUGGCAAAGUAAGAAAUACUGGAGAGAGAGCAUAUAGAUAUCCAAAAUAUUCUUUGUGACUUUCUUUUUUCCAACGCAGUACAGAAUGUUAAAGAAGCAGCGCUCAGCAGGACUUGUGAGUUACAUAGUCCUGUGUCCCACAGUGGUACAUGGAAGUGGAACCGAUGAACUGUCACAAGCAUCCUCCCAGACUGCACUCCUAUUCUACUUCCUCUUAUUCUCAUCGCUGCCACUUCUUCUUGUUCUUCUUGUUACUGUUGCCUUUUCCAACAGUCUGAAUAGGGAGACAGUAGAUGUGCAUAGGGAUGUUCUUGUAAUAGCUGGUUACAACUGGCCUGGCAAAACAUAGAGAGUCAGCAUGGUAUAAAUACAGAGACACAGCAUAUGUAGAAGGCUGUCUACCAGCUCCUCCUCGAUACGCGCCAGCUGCACAGCAGAGAGCCCAGGGAGACUCAUUUUACUAUCGACAUCACCGCUUUCGUUAACUACAGUGAGUUAUAGCUAUGGUUCUUCUGUAUGUUGACUGCAAGGGGAUUCUGCAUAGAUAAAUAGACCAAGACGGCUUUGCCAAAAGGAUACAUUACAAACUGAAUGGACUUCUAGCAUUCAGAAGCACGAUCCUCCUCCUGAUCUCAGGACAAAAACGUGUCAACCAACAUGUAUCCCACUCAAACACACAGAAGAGAAAACCCUCGCUGCUCGCUCACACAAAAAGCCAUGUGUUCGAGCUUGAGGACGACAUAUCGACACCACAAAGGACUCAUUCUCCAUAUCCAGUGGGCUGUGGUCCAGACACCAUUUCAGACAGAACAUCUUAAUGGGAUUCUGGCUCGGCCUUGAGUUUCCAAUCAGCUUCAUUCUCACAUAACAACCCUCCAACUGGGCAACAACAUGGUGGUCAUUUCAGCCAGCACAAAGCCCAGAGGCUUUAUGACUGCAGUUGUGAAUGAACAGAGACAAACUCUCUGAAACCAGAUGUUAUGAUCCUCAUCUGUUGAGGUUAAACUAACAUAAAAAUACUGUAUGUUGGGUACAUCAUAUUCAAUUCCAUUUGUAAAGGAUUCCCCACCACGGUCCAAUGAGGCAGAUGGAAUCUAAUGAUGUAUUUUAGUGGAUUUAUUUCCCUCUUCUCUCUGUCUCCAUCAGCCAGAUAACAACCCUGUAAGAUGGCUGAGAUAAGACAUGAUGAUGACAGUCAGUACAGCCUCUAUAGCGUUAUCUCCUCUCUCAGUCAGUACAGCCUCUAUAGCGUUAUCUCCUCUCACAGUCAGUACAGCCUCUAUAGCGUUAUCUCCUCUCACAGUCAGUACAGCCUCUAUAGCGUUAUCCCCUCUCACAGUCAGUACAGCCUCUAUAGCGUUAUCCCCUCACAGUCAGUACAGCCUCUAUAGUGUUAUCUCCUCUCACAGUCAGUACAGCCUCUAUAGCGUUAUCCCCUCACAGUCAGUACAGCCUCUAUAGCGUUAUCUCCUCUCACAGUCAGUACAGCCUCUAUAGUGUUAUCUCCUCUCACAGUCAGUACAGCCUCUAUAGCAUUAUCCCCUCUCACAGUCAGUACAGACUCUAUAGUGUUAUCUCCUCUCACAGUCAGUACAGCCUCUAUAGUGUUAUCUCCUCUCACAGUCACACUCUGCUGUGAUCUGAAGGCUGGGAAGAUGUCAUCACCGCUGCAAGGCGACUAACCGACUGCUGAUCCCAUAUCUCUCUCUCUCACACACACACACACACACACACACACACACACACACACACACACACACACACACACACAGCUGGCCCCAUCUCAUCUCACACAUCAGUCAACUGUGUGGUAUUCAAUUUGAGUGUCUCUCUCUCUCCACCCACCCACCCGGGGGCAAGCAGCUUCUGAGGUAGACUCCAUGACUACCUUUCCCACAAGGCCUAGAGGCAAAAUGGAAGGCGUUGUAGUUCCUACCACAUGUACUGUACCUGCUCAAGUAGACGCUUGUUGUCCUCCACUUUCCUCUGGUGCUCCUGGAGGCUGAGCUCCUGGAGGCUGAGCUCCUCCUGGAGGCUGAGCAUGGCUGGGUCUCCC
This 2127-nucleotide long non-coding RNA is filed under the name Salmo salar (Atlantic salmon). RNAcentral's name for it is "lncRNA (ENSSSAG00000101259.1)". Lineage: Eukaryota; Metazoa; Chordata; Actinopteri; Salmoniformes; Salmonidae. The record is from RNAcentral.